UUCCACCUUUCGUCUUUCCUGCCGCAGA
Molecule: non-coding RNA, 28 nt
Filed under: Cricetulus griseus (Chinese hamster)
Lineage: Eukaryota; Metazoa; Chordata; Mammalia; Rodentia; Cricetidae
Source: RNAcentral